RNAcentral lists this transfer RNA (71 nucleotides) under bacterium. RNAcentral describes it as "tRNA-Ala". It matches the Rfam family "tRNA". Rfam says of the family: Transfer RNA (tRNA) molecules are approximately 80 nucleotides in length. Their secondary structure includes four short double-helical elements and three loops (D, anti-codon, and T loops). The record is from RNAcentral.
GGGCCCGUGGUAUACCGGUAACACGCUUGCAUGGCAUGCAAGAGUAGCGGGUUCGAUUCCCGCCGGGUCCA